AACAGUCAAGUUCCGAUCAAAUCACACUUUAACAACGAUCCUUCUAUUGUUUCUUGGUUACUAGAUCGAGAUCAGACCGAGAACGAACUGGGAUCAGCACUAUAAUGUGGUUCUGGCCUUAUACACGGGCGUAGCUCAGGGGAUGAAUAUUUGGUGGGACCUCUUAGAAAAAUUUAUGAGGUUUAGAAAAGAUCAUAGAUGUGAAAGCCCGUGAUUUGCUUAAGAGUUCGAUAGCUACGAAAUUUUAUACUUUCCUCUUAAAAAUCAAUGUUUAAAGCUUGGUGUAACCAUUACUCCCAAUUGAUGUUGUAUUCAUCUAAUUGUGUGUAGACUAAAAAUAAUAGACUGUACUUAUUUUAAAAUUUUUGAUGUAAUUUACUCUUUCUAUAAAUAUUCUAAAGUUUGAUUUUAUAAUUCGACCAGAAAAAAAUUAUUAAACUAUUUUUAGAUUUAAGAUUAAAUUUACAAGAUCAAAUAUAGAAUGAGGUUGUAUUCAAUGUAUAAAAAUGUCUCUAAACGCGUAAACAAUAACGGGUCCCUUAUAUAUUUAAUUUUCUGAUUGUUUUCGAAGUAAACAAAAUAUAUACUAGUGCAAGGAUUAAAUUUAUUUUUUUUAUGAAUCUCGAGAAUCUAUCUAAGUGACUUACGCCGAGUUGUACGAAACAAAAUUAAAAUUUAAGUAGAGAUUAAACUAAUUUAAUCACAAGAAUUUCAUACAAUUCUUGCGAUUAAAUUAGUUUAAUCACUACUUAAAUUUUAAUUUCUUUUCGUGCAACUCGGCGUUAGUAAAAUAAUUAUUAUUUAUUGCCUCCUUUUCCCAAUGAAAAUAAUUAUUUAAUGGUUCAAUUACUCAGAAAUAAAUAAAAUUAACUAACAGAAGAGACGGUAACAUUUUAUGUAUAUCUUAUAAAUUAUGUACAUCACAUACUUGAGCAUUGUUACAGAGUGCCGACAUGGCAUAUCCAAAUAUAUUUAAUGUAUACUGUCAGGUGGUUCCGCACAUGUAAGUUACGACUAACAGAACAAUAUUUGGCACUGUUUUCCAGUCAGAUACAAGGCAAACAAUCGUUUGUUGUACUUGUGUAUAUUAAAUAUAACCUCAUCUUGAGAUACUAUGCAGAUUAAAAUAUUAGUUAGUGUUUAUUGAUGUUACGUACUUACGUAGACCUUAGUGGAAAUUGUUGUAUAGGUAAUUAAUUAGAUGUCUUUACGGCGGAAGGAUACCGAUAGAAAAUGAAAUGUUUUAUAAUACGUUGCAGUUUUUGCAAACAAAGAAAUUAAUAUAUUAUCGAAAUUUAAUAAAAUUAUCUGUAUCCUUUCGAUAGGUAGUUGAAAAAAAAAAAGAAUUUGUACUCUCUACAGUGGCAUAGCGUGGGUUUUUGCCGCCCGGAGUCCAACGAAAAUUUGCUGUACCCAUUUUUUUUACAAUUUUUCUUGACUCUUGACCUUCAAUGAAUAGCUUUUUUAACAGAUGGAAUGACGACUUUUGGCAUAUUUUUUCUUCUGGUUUUGCCAGUCUCUACCCAUAAUAGUUUGAUCGGACUGUUUAGUUCAUAAAUGUUACGUCAAUACAAUUUGUUGUUAAUGUAAUGGUGCGUGUGCCGUGUCGCCGGCGCCUAAACACCGACGGUCGCGGCUUCGAUUCCCGCUCGGAGUGGAUAUUUGUGUUUUUUACAAAUAUUUAUUUCCGGUCUGGUUGUUAGUCAUUGUGCGUUUCCCCAUCGUGCCUCAGAGAGCAGCCUUAGCGAGCGAGGUGGAUUUACAAAUUUCCAUCCAGUAUGAUACUUAUUUAUUAUUUUUUCCCGCCCCAAACUCUCUAGCGACUCCCUCUCUCUUCCUAAAUUUUGCCGCUCCUUGCACCAACCUACGAGUUACAAGCAUUUUCAAUAAAAAAAUCUUACCGUUUUAACCAAAAUUCUGACAACAUUCCUAACAUAUUGCCGACAUAGUGAUAAGAGAUUAAUCAGAACACGCUGUGCAUGUUGGUGGUAGCGUUUGUAUUAAAUUCUUUACUAAUUACUACAAGUGAGAACGUAGGAUUACUAUUGCACUUCGGCUGCUCACCCACGCUAUGCCACCGAUUCUCUAGUUUUAAAUGUACACGUAUUCCUUCAGGGCUCAAUUUUUAAAUAUUAUGCUUAAGAAAGACUAGCAGCAAAGGCAAUAUUUUACUUUUAGUACAAGAUUGUUUACUACGUUUGUGUUAUAUUAUUUACAAUUAGAUGUAAGAGAUACAUAUGUGUGCGACUGUCACUUGUCCGAACAAUAGGUACCUAUCAAUGUAACCCAAUAUGAUUUUAGUUUUGCUAAAUAUUUGAACUAAAUAUAAAAUUAUCUUAGGAGUGUAGUUAUAGAGUACCUACUGCUAAUUCUUGUUUUGAAUUUUGCUUCGUAUCGGGACUUGAUCCCUUUUGAAUUUUGGUAUAAAAAACCCUUUCUGUUGAUUCAUGUCAACCGUGUACAUGCUGAGCUUUUAAUAGCAGCUUUAGCGUGAAAGGCAACACAUAUUCAAAAAUGUUCGCGUUUAAUACUAUUUACACAAGUAGUACCUACGGUCUACAUAACCCACGCGGUUAAACGUACAAAUAAUUUGUAAAACGGAAGGUUUUGAGAUUGUAAUGUUCCAGUAAAAAAAAUUCUUCUGCUUCAUCAUCAGUUAGAUCUUGAUUAAAAUUAACUAUUUUUGAAAAAUUCAAUUACUUAAACAGGUAAGAGUUGGGGCGAAAAAUCGUUAUUGAUAUAUUUUUUAAAGCUAUAUCAUCAAAAGCAGAAAUAAUUUUGUUUCUUUGAAUUAUAAACUCCGAUAAAAAAUUCUUUAAAAACCGUCCAUAUUUUUAUCGUAUGAACACAUGCACUUUAACAAAGAUCAUUUAAAAUAUGUUAUUUUCUUUAUAUUAUUUGAUAAAAAUAAUUUUGAAUUGUUUAAAACAUCGAUUAGGUACCUAUUUUAUACCAAAAUCUUAAUAUAAAGGGCUUUUGAGGAAAAAUCAUAAAAUUUGUUUUACCAUUUAAGUAUUUCCUAAGUAUUGAAAAAUCACUAGCGCUCUAUUGCUAAAGUUUAUUAAACGCCUCACGGUCGCAAAUGAAAUUGAUGUUCUAAUAUUUUGGUCGAAUACUUGUUUCUCUUUAAAAAUAUAUUACAUGCCAAAGAAAUAAAUUUCAUUGUUUUUACUAAGAUUCGAACCACUGAUGGAUGUGGAAACACUAUCUGACAGAUCUUUAUAUUAGCCCUGAAACUUAAUGGUCUAGUCGUUAAUGAAAUUAGUGUACUCUUAUAAUUAUAAUUGAGUAUUGUAGUUUGUUUGACGAAUAAAUGUAUUAAAACAUAUAUAUUGUAUCUUUUAUAACAAUAUCCCAAAUCCAAAAAAAUUAAUAGUGCCCGUUAUAUGAACACAAGUGGUAAAAAAGGUACAUCUAAGUUACUAAAAGGUAUGACACGAAACUUUUAAGUUCACCAAACGUUAUAGAGGUAGAUAGAUAUAUAUGACAGUUGUAGGUAUUAGCGAAAUAUUCGCGUCGUACGAAAUUCGCUCCGCGCGUGUUA
RNAcentral lists this unclassified non-coding RNA (3544 nucleotides) under Melitaea cinxia (Glanville fritillary). RNAcentral's name for it is "misc RNA ENSMCXG00005014059.1". Lineage: Eukaryota; Metazoa; Arthropoda; Insecta; Lepidoptera; Nymphalidae. The record is from RNAcentral.